Molecule: ribosomal RNA, 253 nt
Filed under: uncultured bacterium
Lineage: Bacteria
Description: partial 16S ribosomal RNA
Rfam family: Bacterial small subunit ribosomal RNA
Source: RNAcentral
UACAGAGGGUGCAAGCGUUGUCCGGAAUCACUGGGCGUAAAGGGCGCGUAGGUGGUGACCUAAGCGUGCGGUGAAAGCCCGAGGCUCAACCUCGGGUCGGCCGUGCGAACUGGGUCACUGGAGCAGAAUAGAGGCAGGUGGAAUUCCGGGUGUAGCGGUGGAAUGCGUAGAGAUCCGGAAGAACACCGGUGGCGAAGGCGGCUCACUGGCUCGUUUCUGACGCUGAGGCGCGAAAGCGUGGGGAGCAAACAGG